This 63-nucleotide small nucleolar RNA is filed under the name Marchantia polymorpha subsp. ruderalis. Its description in RNAcentral is "Small nucleolar RNA snoR101". It matches the Rfam family "Small nucleolar RNA snoR101". Lineage: Eukaryota; Viridiplantae; Streptophyta; Marchantiopsida; Marchantiales; Marchantiaceae. The record is from Rfam by way of RNAcentral.
GGUUUACACUUGAUCUCUGAACUCCAGGUAAGUUCUAUGUAGAUGCUUUUAGGUACUGAUGCA